Molecule: small nucleolar RNA, 106 nt
Organism: Humulus lupulus (European hop)
Lineage: Eukaryota; Viridiplantae; Streptophyta; Magnoliopsida; Rosales; Cannabaceae
Source: RefSeq, a predicted model, not a curated record
AUACCAUGAUGUGGGUACUUUAUCAAUAACUCCUUGAACGUCUCCCAAGCAUCGCACAUCGACUCACCCUCAAAAUGUUUAAAAGAAAUAUUCUCAUUCUGAGUCU